This 781-nucleotide non-coding RNA is filed under the name Pongo abelii (Sumatran orangutan). Lineage: Eukaryota; Metazoa; Chordata; Mammalia; Primates; Hominidae. The record is from RNAcentral.
GGAGGGGAGCCGAGGCCCGGCGUGGGGAGGCCGGCAGGAAGGGCCUCGAGCCCAGUGCGGACCUUUCUUCAGCCUCUGUGCGGCCGAGCCGCGCGCCAGGCUGCUGUGCGAGGAGGACGCGCUGACUUCCUCCGACAUGGGCUCUGAUAGAGCAGAAAUAGCGGGACCUGGACUUGUGGCGCGCCUGGUGCCUGGUGCCACAUCUCGGGCUCUGCGAGCCUCCUGGCGCGGGAUCCUGCCGUUUGCAUCCAAGAGAGGGGAGGACAGGGGCAAAAGGAUGCAGGGAGGCUGCUGAUUUCCACUGGAGAGCUAAUUUCCUGUGAGAUAUUAACCGUGAUUUAAGAAAAAAAUUCCUGUAACUGUAAUGUCUUACAAUAACAGAAUGCAGGAGAGCACAUAUCAAUGAAGAAAAGACAAAAUGUAUUUAUCCAUGAAGCUGAGGUUAAGAAACCAGUGUCUUCAAGAGCCGGGGACAGCACUGGGUCUGUGCAGAGUUGAGAGAUGGUGAUGACAUGCCUACAGCACAGCUGAUGAAAGAGAAGCCAUCUUGCUGCUAUUUGACAAGCAAGAAGAUAAAAGCUUUCCUAUAAAGAUGAUGGAGCAAAAAGAUAGAAGGGGCCUAGACUCCCUACCUUCACACUUCCUGCUAUGAAAGCAUUGCUAUUAUAAGGUUAAUCUGCAGAAACAGACUUCUAUGUCAUAUGCUUAAAUGCAUCAAAAUUCAUACAAUAUCCAUUAAAUUGGUAAAAGUAUCCAUCUUAAAGGAUUAAUCUGAGGGACC